Molecule: long non-coding RNA, 158 nt
Organism: Cotesia glomerata
Lineage: Eukaryota; Metazoa; Arthropoda; Insecta; Hymenoptera; Braconidae
Exons: 3
Source: RefSeq, a predicted model, not a curated record
UUAAUAUUUCUUUUAGUACUUUUACUGCUUUGGAAGAAAAUGAGGUUAGAAUGUUUGGGACAGUAGAGAGCGCUACAUAAAAACUACUGACUAUUGUCUGCACACUACUGAGUCGUGUUCUGGCACUAACCAGUCGUGUUUCGUGCAGCACUCACUAC